This is a long non-coding RNA of Larimichthys crocea (large yellow croaker), 268 nucleotides long. RefSeq lists it as uncharacterized. NCBI's taxonomy places the organism in Eukaryota, Metazoa, Chordata, Actinopteri, Sciaenidae. The record is from RefSeq and is a predicted model, not a curated record. The transcript is spliced from 3 exons.
UGAACUCAGAACUUUUAACGUUGACGGAGUGAAGGAAGAGAAGCUCAAGACUCACCAUGAUGAAUAAGAAAGAGGAGGACAGAGCAGAGUCUCCAGGAUCCAGCUGUCUGUCUAUGAAGAGUGACCUGUCCAAAGAUUUUAUUAUAAACUUCAGACAUGAACCUGGACGCUCACACACAAAAGUUCAGUCCAGCAGACGGAGAGCAGAGUCUCCAGGAGCCAGCUGUCUGUCUAUGAGAGUGACAUGUCCAAAGAUGUUAUUAUAAAC